GCGACGUGUGUCUUUCAGGCGACGCUGCCAGCGUGACGUAUAAUCUAGUGGAUGGUUCUUCAGAAACAGCUCGUUAACCACCUCGGUAGCUUGCUAGCCAACAUAGCCGAAAGAUUCAAGCUAUUUAUACGCUUUCGGUCUAUAUUAGCUACUGUGUUUUAGACACACUUCUGUCGUAUCUACUUGUUAACCUAUUUAAUUUAAUAUUAUGUUAUUUGUAUUAGUCAGCUAUAGUAGCUGGCUGGUUAAGUUAGCACUAGCCUAGUUGCUAAUGAUAGCUAGCUAGCUAACAUCUCCGAACAUGAGCUCCCUAAACUUCUCCCCUCCUGUUAAAGAGGAGGAGGUCUGCUGGACGGAGAAAGAAGCUCUGGGGCUGAACAUUGUCGUGAAAGAGGAGAAGGAAGAGGAGGAUGUUACUGUUAAAAAAGAAGUAGAGGGUGAGGCUGUUACAGUGAAAGAAGAAGAGAAAGACGUUUCAGUGAAAGAAGAGGAAGACUCGUUCAGAGUGAAAGAGGAGGUGGAUGUUACAGUAAAAGAAGAGGAGGAUGCAGUUUUUGGAGUGAAGAAGGAAGGGGAGAUUACUGUCACAUUGAAAGAUGAAGAGAUGGAGAGAGGAGAUCUGAUUAACACCAGAGAGAGACGGGACUACCGUGGAUCAUCUGGGGAGCCUCAACAACCUGAUGAUGCUGACGAGGCAGAGAAGAGUCUCUCCACAUCAGAACUCCUCGAGAAACACCAGCACAGACCCACAGGGAAGAAACCUCAUUGCUGCUCUGACUGUGGGAAACGUUUCAAAUAUUCAUCAUACCUUAAAAUUCACCAGCGAGUACACACAGGAGAGAAACCUUAUAGCUGUACUCAAUGUGAGAAGAGUUUUACUCAUUCAACUAACCUGAUAUCACACCAGAGAACACACACAGGAGAGAAACCUUUUGGCUGUGAUCAAUGUGGGCAGAGGUUUACUCAGUCAGGUGCCCUGAAAUCCCACCGUAAACUACACACAGGAGAGAAACCUUUUAGCUGUGAUCAAUGUGCGAAGAGAUUUAUUAAGUCUAGCAAUCUGACAGUACACCAGAGAAAACACACAGGAGAGAAACCGUUUAGUUGUAAUCAAUGUGGGAAAAGUUUCAUUACAUCUAGAGAUCUGACUGUACACCAGAGAACACACACAGGAGAGAAAUCUUAUAGCUGUGAUCAAUGUGGGAAGAGUUUUAUUACAUCUAGCCAUCUGACAACACACCAGCGAGUACACACAGGAGAGAAAUUUCACCACUGUUCAGAUUGUGGAAAAAGCUUUUCAACUUCACAUACUUUGAAGAUGCACCAGAAAACACACACAGGAGAAAAAUCGUAUAGCUGUGAUCAAUGUGGGAAAAGUUUUACUCAGUCAAGCUCCCUGAAAUCCCACCAUAAGUUACACACAGGAGAGAAACCAUUUAUCUGUGAUCAAUGUGGGAUGAGGUUUAUUAAUUCUAGCAAUCUGACAGUACACCAGAGGAAACACACAGGAGAGAAACCGUUUAGUUGUAAUCAAUGUGGGAAAAGUUUUAUUACAUCUAGCUCUCUGACUAUACACCAGCGAGUACACACAGGAGAGAAACCUCACCACUGUUCAGAUUGUGGAAAAAGCUUUUCAAUGUCACAUACUUUGAAGAUGCACCAGAAAACACACACAGGAGAGAAAUCAUAUAGCUGUGAUCAAUGUGGGAAGAGUUUUACUAGGUCAAGCUCCCUGAUAUCCCACCGUAAACUACACACAGGAGAGAAACCUUUUAGCUGUGAUCAAUGUGGGAUGAGGUUUAUUACGUCUGGCAGUCUGACAGUACACCAAAGAACACACACAGGAGAGAAACCUUAUAGCUGUGAUCAAUGUGGGAAGAGUUUUACUACAUCUAGCUAUCUGACUAUACACCAGCGGAGACACACAGGAGAGAAACCUUAUAGCUGUGUUCAAUGUGGGAAGAGAUACUCUGAUAAAAGUUAUCUGAUCAAACAUCAGAAAAUACAUACAUGAAGGAGUUGUUUCAUGAUAUCUAUGAAAUAAUGUCACAAUGUAGAAUGUUUUAACAUUGUAGAAGGAGUAUUUUAAUGAUGUCAUAAUGUAGAACCCUAAACGUUUGCCCCUUGUUCUAUUGAUUUCAGCAUAUGGAUAUUAGCCUCAGGGGGAAAAUCCAGGCUCUGAAAUGAAAGAAUACACUAUUUAUAUGAUUUAACAAAAAGUGACUAACAAAAAAAGUUGUUACACUUACCACGUUGGUGACCCACUUGAAUGAAAAUGCAACACUUCAAAAUGUAGCUAGCUGAUUUCUACAAAUUGUCCUCUAACCAGUGAUGUACACAUUAUUCCUAGAUUCCGUGUGGUUUUUGAGCUGUUAGUUUUAACGGAGACAUUACACUUAAUCACAUGCGUCUGUGACAGAAAAAAUGAUGUAUUUACCUCAUUUGGUGGAUAUUUAACAAUUAUUUACUUAACAAACAGUACGAUAUUUCUGUCCUGCUAAUUCUGAGUUUUAUGGUGUUCACUCUAGCUUCCUGCAGCUAGUCUGGGUGUCGAGGACAUGGGCUUCAUUAGAGAUGGCUUGAAGCUGACGAUUGAUGUCGAGGACAUUAAAAACCAAACAGCCACAUUCCAUUCUAAGAUUAGUGGUACAGGUGAGACAUAUGUCUCCGGUCUGAUUGAGCCUGCAUUCCAUAGACAAUAUAUGGUGUAUGUUGAGCUGGGAUAGAGAGGAGUAGAACAAAGGACUCAAUGAUCCUGAGACAUCCUGGCAUCUGGGAUAUUAGGCCAGGGUCGGGGGUUAAGAUAACAACUGGGAUAUUUGGCCAUGGUCGGGGGUUAAUAUAACACCAGGUGCAGAUGAAGACAGGAUGAGCCCAAAGUGGCCACCCCUCCCAAUCUAGAUGGGAGGGGUGGAACCAAGCAUUCUGGGUAUUAGCUAUAUAAACUGUGCGUUGUCUGUAAAGGGUAGGCUCUCAGACUAACAGUCAGUUAAGACUGUUGGGCUGAUGGUUUCAUUAUUGCAAUAACUAAUCAAUGUUAAAUAAAGAUGAUUGUUUGAAGAAAUGUCCAAGUCUCUCGAAGUACGACACGACCCAAUUGAAACAAAAUACAACACUUCAAAAUGUAAAGAGAUGUUUUCUACAAAUUGUCCUCCAACCAGUGAUGUACACAUUAUUCCCAGAUUCCGUGUGGUUUUUGAGCUGUUAGUUUUAACAGGACGUGCAACCUCAUCUUCCCCCUCUCAUAUGCAAAUGAUUUUAGCAUAAUUCGAUGAGUGAUGACAAAUAAGUGUUGCUUUCCUUUGUUCAUUGAACCCUACAUUUAAAUACAUCCCUCCAAAAUGUAAUGACUGUCUUCUGCAGGUUGUCCUCUAACCUGUAAGGUAAAAGAUAUCUCCAAUUUCCAUGUGUUUUUUUAGUUGUGUUAGUUUCAACAGCACGUACAACCUGAUUUUCUCCCUAAUCGAUAUCAGUGAUUUAUUGCUGCUUGUGCAGUUUAUAAGGUGCUUGUUUAAAAAAUACAAGUAAUAUGAUUAUUGUGGCAGAUGUUUGUGUAAAUAGCACAUGUUAUGUUUAGGUUUUCAAUUGAUCCCAAACUGUUUCUACAUAUUGGUUAUUGAUUUGGACACGUUAAAACUGUGUUUUGACAUUGGGAUAUCCCACCUAGCAAAAUGUCAUUGAAAAGACGUUGAAAAUAAGACUAUUCCCGAGUUCGGUUUUAGUUGAAAAAAAAAGGACUUACUUUCAACGUACUUGAAGCUUUAUACACAUGGACGCAGUAUAAUACAUUUGUCUAUAAUCUAUUUGAUUAAUUGUUAUAAUCACUCCAGUAUUUAUUUACAAGAUUCAAGUGCUAGUAAUCUAAAUUAUUUAUGCAACCAACUGACAAUUUUUGGGUACAAUUAUAUUGACACUGUUGCCCUGCUUUUAGAAUAUCCGGGUUCAUUUUCAGAUGUGCCAACCCAAAUGUACCAGAACAUGACAUUGGGGACUGGGCCCCGAUCCAACAACAUGCCUAUCGAGUGAACCCUGAAAAGAGAGAGAAGCUCUGCAGUGAGGUGGAAAGUUACUUCGGAAAUUCCAGGAGUUUCCUAUUGAAAUGUCCGUGGUGAGGACAACAUGGUUUCUGAUUGUCUCAAGGGUGUGCAUUCAACAAGUUUUGCAUUUAGCCAGUGCGUUGCCAUGGAUCACAAUUUAUUUUGACUGCACGUUUUUCGGUAUUGGAGAAUAGUUUUGGGGCUCGUUCCAAGGGGGCGAGAGUUCUAGAAGCUAGUGAGUUUUAAGUUGUUGUUUGUUGGUGGUAAGCAUUCUCUUAGGGGGGAAGGUGUUACAGUCUUUGGUUUUUCCAUUUAUGUUUUGAGGUGGACACCAAGGAACUUAACUCUCGACUCGCUCCACUACAGCCUCGUUGAUGUUAAUGGGGACCUGUUCGGCCCUGCUUUUCCUGUAGUCCACGAUCAUCUCCUCUGUCUUGCUCACGUUGAGGAAGUGCCAGGUCUCUGACCUCCUCCCUGUAGGCUGUCAGGGAGAGGUUUAAAAUGUCAGUGAAGACACUUGCCAGUUGGUCUGUGCAUGCUCUGGGUACAUGCCCUGGUAAUCAGUCUGUCCUGGCGGCGUUGUGAAUGUUGACCUGUUUAAAAGGUCUUGCUAUGGAGAGUGUGAUCACACACGUCCGGAACACCUCAAUCAUGCUUCAGAGUUGCUUGCCUCAAAGCAAAAAAGGCAUUUAUGUCGUCUGGAAGCUCGUCUCCACCUUUUCUUCAGGUGAAUGACAGGGAUUUAGGCCUGGUCUCCUGAAAGCAGUAUAUACUUCACGUCAGACUCGUUAAAGAUUUUUUUUUGUCAAGUUUGAGGUGACUAAUCACUGUUCUGAUGUCCAGAAGCUCUACCAUGCGAACGAGUUCCCACUAGAGAACACAAUCACAUGCUGCAUGAGGUGUGGCUAACGUUAGCAAGCUUGAGCUAGAUACCAAGCUAGCAUACAAACUCGGUAGAAAUAGUGCAUUGUGGGUUAUGAGAAGAUAUCCAGAAAUAAGUUAAGAAAUAUGUUUUUGCUUUAUUAAAUAACUGUUUGUCCUUAUAGGUAACCAGAUCUUCAAUACAACUAAGUUACUAAGUCUUUAAACACACUGUGUUGUUACACUGGUGAGUAAAAACUCAUGCUUCCUACACUUUAAAAUGUAGUCUGAAAAUAAAAUAUACAUUUUACUCAACUGCGUCCAGUCAGCAGAUGGACUAGGUGCCGCUUAGGCCGCCCAUUGUGACUCGUGUCAAGAAUUCAGCAGUGCAAGUUUGUAUGAAGGUCUGGUUAUUAAAUGGGAUCAUAGUUCAAUAGUAAUAUCCUCUAAAAAGCUCUGACAAACGUUGCUGCCCUGUUUCCAGUUGUCCACAUGGCUUGGAGAACCUAUUCAAGUAAGUAAAUAGGUUUUGGAAAUGUAAAAAAACACAAUGUAUUAUUAGCUAACUAGCUACAGUGCAGGCUAAAUUAGCUAUCUAGUUGGCUAACUAACUAACUUCAAAUACUGUAUAGAUAGAUAGCUAAGUGAAUUAAAUAUCACCAGCUACCUAACUUCAUAUUAGCUCGUUAUCUUUAUGUAUUUAUCACUGUAAAAAACUAACUCCAAAUGCAUUUGUAGGUAGCUAGCUAACAGCCAUGGAGGGUGAAAGGAUAGCAGCCCCAACUGUCAGUGAGAGAGGAGGCUAUUCUGGAUCAGGCAGGUACUUUUGUGUAGUUCCUGUCCCUAGAAGUGAGUCAUGGAGAUAAUAGUAACAUAAUAUUCAGUGUGGUGUAAUUUGACUAGAAUGAAAUCUGUUUCUUGUGAGGUUUUCUGUCCUCAGAUAAAGAGCGCUAUGAAAGCCAGUCUACAUAUGAAGAGGUCCCAAUGAAGAGCAGUGGUUCUCAGUCCUGGCAACUCAGAGGGGCACAUUGUUGUUUUUGCCUUCGCACUGCACAGCUGAUUCAAAUGAUCAACUCAUCAUCAAGCUUCAAGUGAUAUCUUGUAACUUCCUUCAAAACGAUUGCCUAUAGUUAACGUGUAGGGCACUGCAAGGUCGGGUGACCAGGGUCAUCUGGGACUGCCUCCUGGAGGAAUUCAGGUGUGUGAAGGCUACCUGUGUCCUGCGUAACUUCAUGAGGAUGGACACAAGGACCGGGAGGGGAUCUGCAGCUCGCCGCAGUGUGCCAGAGGAGGAGUCUGCUGCUCUGCAGGAUGUUUCAAGGAUGGGGUCCAACAACGCAGCAAGAGAGGCAAUCCGUGUGCAGGAGAUCUUCACCUCCUACUUCUUCAGAGGGUGCUGUUCCCCGGCAACACCAUAGACUACACUAUGCACACCAUAGACUACACUAUACACUAACCAAAGUCUCUUUUAAGAGCCAUUCACAUUGCAAUAAGAGUAUUCUUCCAUUUACUUAGCUAUGUCAACUGCAGUUAUUCAAUUCACAGUUUCUAUCCCUUUGAUUUAUACUUCUCAGGUGAGGGUGCUGUUUAGGUAAGGGUGUGAUGUCUGUACAAAAACAAAACAGGCUCUUAUCCCGCUCUCACAUUCGACCCUAAAUACUCUAGGUUAUAUCAGCUGUGUCGGUGAACCCCUCCUGCAUCUGAACUGGCUACAUAGAAGUAGUAUUAAAGAGAUGCUUUACAUUGAAAUACAGAUAGAUGCAGUAGUCCCAGAGUUAAUGAUCCAAGGUCAGUUUUGCAUUUCACCUCCUGAUUGAUGAAUAACAAUGUUAGAAUAAAAAAUCAAACACAAGGCUUAAACAUGCUCUCUCUUCAUCUGUCUUGAUGUGAGAGGAUGCCAACCCCCAGUCUCAUCAUCACCACCUCACCUGCUUUUAAGAUGACCUUUUGGCCGACUAGAGACACUAUUAUGUAAUUGUGAUGAACUGAGAGAAUAUUUAGGUAGCACUGUGAUUCAUUAAUCAUGUGCUGCCUUCCCUGCUCCUAUGUGUUUACCUCUUUCCCCUUCUGUCUUUUACACCUCUCUCACCACCUCUUUCCUCCUCUGUUUUUAUAAUGCACAACAGAUGUGCAUUGAAGUACAGAUUGAACUUGUAUUUAUAACACUUGGACAAUGAGCUUUUCAAUAAAGUGUUUCACAUUCUCUACUGGUUGAAAUUAAGUGU
This is an RNA transcript of Oncorhynchus kisutch (coho salmon), 7123 nucleotides long. It is a transcript of the gene named zinc finger protein OZF-like, with no coding region annotated. The record is from RefSeq and is a predicted model, not a curated record. NCBI's taxonomy places the organism in Eukaryota, Metazoa, Chordata, Actinopteri, Salmoniformes, Salmonidae. The transcript is spliced from 3 exons.